This 712-nucleotide ribosomal RNA is filed under the name uncultured bacterium. RNAcentral describes it as "bacterial SSU rRNA". It matches the Rfam family "Bacterial small subunit ribosomal RNA", at positions 778 to 1496 of the family's 1533-position model. The record is from RNAcentral.
UUAGAUACNNUGGUAGUCCACGCAGUAAACGAUGAAUGNUAGUUGUCCGGGGCGAUUGAGUUUUGGGUGACACAGCGAAAGCGUUAAGCAUUCCACUGGGGGAGUACGCCGGGCAACGGUGAAACUCAAAGGAAUUGACGGGGGCCCGCACAAGCGGAGGAACAUGUGGUUUAAUUCGAUGAUACGCGAGGAACCUUACCCGGGCUCAAACGCAGGAGGGAUGUUUUUGAAAGGAGGCAGCCAGCAAUGGUCUCCUGCGAGGUGCUGCAUGGUUGUCGUCAGCUCGUGCCGUGAGGUGUCGGCUUAAGUGCCAUAACGAGCGCAACCCCUACNNUACAGUUGCCAUCGCGUGAUGGCGGGCACUCUGUGGGGACUGCCUGCGCAAGCAGUGAGGAAGGCGGGGAUGACGUCAAAUCAGCACGGCCCUUACGUCCGGGGCGACACACGUGUUACAAUGGCAGGUACAGCGGGAAGCCACCCGGCGACGGGGCGCGGAACCCGAAAACCUGUCUCAGUUCGGAUUGGAGUCUGCAACCCGACUCCAUGAAGCUGGAUUCGCUAGUAAUCGCGCAUCAGCCACGGCGCGGUGAAUACGUUCCCGGGCCUUGUACACACCGCCCGUCAAGCCAUGGAAGCCGGGGGUGCCUGAAGUGCGUGACCGCAAGGAGCGCCCUAGGGUAAAACCGGUGACUGGGGCUAAGUCGUAACAAGG